CAUUUCCUCGCCGUUUUCUCCUCUUCUAUGCGUCAAAACUCAGAAAACCCAUUUCCCCGUACACUGAUCAUGGAGUGGAGCUCCUUGCAUCAACACAAUAGAAAGGAAGUGAAGUGCAGAUCUGAGACACCCAUUGCCUUUUCGGUUUGAAAUGUCGAAAAAUUUCGUCGCAUAUCGGCCGGCUCCGACACAAUAUUCGUCACCGACGGAAAUUUCGAUAAUUUUUCGAAAAUAUCGUCGGUAUUUUUACCGAUUUUUCGGGGAAUUUCCCGAUAUUUCCUAUCAGUCCAGCCGCGCACAGGAUACAAAAUCUGUCCAUUUUUUUAUUUUUUUAUUUAAAAACAUAAGAUGCUAUUUGGUAAUCUGAUCAUGAUGUUUUUAUCGGUAUUUUUAACGAUUUUUCGGGAAAUUUCCCGAUAUUUCCUACCAGUCCAGCCGCGCACAGGACACAAAAUCUGUCCAUUUAAAAAAAAAAAAAAAGCAUAAGAUGCUAUUUGGUAAUUUGAUCAUGAUUUGCAGGAAAGGUUGUGUUUUUCAAUCUGGCUAAAAAAUCGUGGAUUUAGGGUUCGUGAAAUUUUAAUCCAAUGGCACAAAAGCAAAGGAGACCCCCAGAACAGGUCCAGAAAACAAGCAAAAAAAAAAAAAAGCAAUUUUUUUGGUUUUCCUUGGGGUUUUUGCAUGGAUUUUCUCGGAAAUCAAACGAGGAUGAAUUUUCCCGGAAAUCAAAUGGGGGAUAGAUUUUCUUGGGAAUCAAACGGGGGUUGCAAAAAAAAAAUAAUAAU
Vitis vinifera (wine grape) is the source of this 782-nucleotide long non-coding RNA. RefSeq lists it as uncharacterized. NCBI's taxonomy places the organism in Eukaryota, Viridiplantae, Streptophyta, Magnoliopsida, Vitales, Vitaceae. The transcript is spliced from 2 exons. The record is from RefSeq and is a predicted model, not a curated record.